GCAGAAAAUUAAGAUGACAGGAAACCGAUUACUUUCCAACAGGACAGUGAGGUGUGCAACUAAUGUAGAAGCAUUUUCACUCCGUGCUGCAGAUUUAGAAGAAGUCACAAAUCUCUAUGCAAGAUUUUUGCGGAACUCACGUGUUCAACGAGCCAUAAGGUAUGAGUCACCCUAUUGGAGGGGACGAGCAGCAAUCCGUAUUCAAGUGGCAUGGAGAUACAGAAAGAGAUGCUUAAACCGGGCAACCACCUCAAACCAUGUAUCCUAGUUAUUCAAUGAGGAAAUGAUUUGUUCUGACAUGUAAAUUUAUAUUUGUAUGAUAUGUAGUUAAUCUCCAUUGUUGUUCAGUCAAUUGAAUAGAUUAUAUCUUUAAUGAAACUACUUCCCCGAAGGUUCAAGAAAAGUUGCAUGUAAGAAUCUACCCAUAACCAUCAACUUGUCUUUUGGAAAAUAUAGCUUAAGCAUUAUAUAGCAAAAUAUACACAUGUAAACCAUAAUUGGGCCUGGAUCUUAAUUGGAAAGAACAGUGUUAAUGUGGUGUAUCUGAUUA
Molecule: non-coding RNA, 550 nt
Organism: Nelumbo nucifera (sacred lotus)
Lineage: Eukaryota; Viridiplantae; Streptophyta; Magnoliopsida; Proteales; Nelumbonaceae
Source: RefSeq, a predicted model, not a curated record